Molecule: ribosomal RNA, 253 nt
Filed under: uncultured bacterium
Lineage: Bacteria
Description: partial 16S ribosomal RNA
Rfam family: Bacterial small subunit ribosomal RNA
Source: RNAcentral
UACGAAGGUGGCAAGCGUUGUUCGGAUUCACUGGGCGUACAGGGAGCGUAGGCGGUUAGGUAAGCCCUCCGUGAAAUCUCCGGGCCUAACCCGGAAAGUGCAGAGGGGACUGCUUGGCUAGAGGAUGGGAGAGGAGCGCGGAAUUCCCGGUGUAGCGGUGAAAUGCGUAGAGAUCGGGAGGAAGGCCGGUGGCGAAGGCGGCGCUCUGGAACAUUUCUGACGCUGAGGCUCGAAAGCGUGGGGAGCAAACAGG